UACGGAGGGUGCAAGCGUUAUCCGGAUUCACUGGGUUUAAAGGGUGCGUAGGUGGGCAGGUAAGUCAGUGGUGAAAUCUCCGGGCUUAACCCGGAAACUGCCAUUGAUACUAUUUGUCUUGAAUACCGUGGAGGUCAGCGGAAUAUGUCAUGUAGCGGUGAAAUGCUUAGAUAUGACAUAGAACACCAAUUGCGAAGGCAGCUGGCUACACGAAUAUUGACACUGAUGCACGAAAGCGUGGGGAGUCAAACAGGA
This 255-nucleotide ribosomal RNA is filed under the name uncultured bacterium. Its description in RNAcentral is "partial 16S ribosomal RNA". It matches the Rfam family "Bacterial small subunit ribosomal RNA", at positions 524 to 777 of the family's 1533-position model. The record is from RNAcentral.